UACAUAAGGUUUAAAUGAAGACUCUGCAGUAUAAAUCUCUACUUUCAAAGUGAUCACUAUUCAGAGGGAAGAAAGCCUCUGUUCCAGAAAGCUUACCAUUGUUAGUGGAACUGGAAGAAAUAGCAACAAAAGUGUCUGGAUAACCCAUUGAAACUUAUUCGAUGAAACAGUGUCAGACGUAGCCAUUUUUAAAAUUACUUCUGAAGUACAUCUGGACUGUGGUUUGGGAAUGUCACACAGUCAGCCUAACCCACAGAAAUGAAACAGUCUAUGAACUCUAAGAAGUAAUAGAGAAGAAGGAAGUGUGGCUGAAAGCCAUUCCAUUCAGGAUCUUUGGCCAAAAGAGACACAGCCUUUCUGAUAUCAUCCUUACAGGAGCAUAGUUUUCAGGAGUCACAGGAAACUCCCGGUGACUACAGAGAAGAACUUAAUCUACACUACAAGG
Pelodiscus sinensis (Chinese soft-shelled turtle) is the source of this 445-nucleotide non-coding RNA. The record is from RefSeq and is a predicted model, not a curated record. Lineage: Eukaryota; Metazoa; Chordata; Testudines; Trionychidae.